UUAAACGAUGGAUGCUCGAUGUCGGCCCGCAAGGGUCGGUGUUUAAGCUAACGCAUUAAGCAUCCCACCUGGGAAGUACGAUCGCAAGGUUGAAACUCAAAGGAAUUGACGGGGGCCCGCACAAGCAGUGGAGCAUGUGGUUUAAUUCGAUGCAACGCGAAGAACCUUACCUGGGUUUGAAAGGCAAGUGACAACCGAUGAAAGUCGGUCUCCCCGCAAGGGGCACUUGUACAGGUGCUGCAUGGCUGUCGUCAGCUCGUGCCGUGAGGUGUUAGGUUAAGUCCUGCAACGAGCGCAACCCCUGCACUUAGUUGCCAUCAGGUCAAGCUGGGCACUCUAAGUGGACUGCCUACGCAAGUAGCGAGGAAGGUGGGGAUGACGUCAAGUCCUCAUGGCCCUUACACCCAGGGCUACACACGUGCUACAAUGGCCGCUACAAUGGGUCGCAAGAGCGCAAGCUGGAGCCAAUCCCACAAAAGCGGUCUCAGUUCGGAUUGAGGGCUGCAACUCGCCCUCAUGAAGCUGGAAUUGCUAGUAAUCGCGGAUCAGCACGCCGCGGUGAAUACGUUCCCGGGCCUUGUACACACCGCCCGUCAAGCCAUGGAAGCUGGGGGUACCCGAAAUCGGUGUGCGAACCGCAAGGACGCAGCCGCCUAAGGUAAAACCAGUGACUGGGGCUAAGUCGUAACAAGGUAACCGUA
RNAcentral lists this ribosomal RNA (701 nucleotides) under uncultured bacterium. RNAcentral's name for it is "bacterial SSU rRNA". It matches the Rfam family "Bacterial small subunit ribosomal RNA", at positions 801 to 1504 of the family's 1533-position model. The record is from RNAcentral.